AGGAAAUGAACUGCACGUCAGCUGUGCAGGCAGGGAGAAAGGAGGUGGAAGAGGCAAGGGAGCAAGAAAGGAAGGAGGGAAGCAAAAUAAACCCACUCCUGUGUAGAGCGUUGGAAAUGUGGCACUAACAAAGACUUCCUGUUCCACAUAGAAUCAGCGCUGGCAGAGGCGGCAUGCAGGGCUGUGGGUGUACUCAGCUGUGCAGAGCUGAUUAUAGAAGAUGAAAGGGCUUGGCAAUUUAUUUCAUCUCACACUGAAGCACUGCUGACAACUGAAAGUGAGGACAGAAGGAUUCAUUUGUUCAACUUCUGUUUUAAAAAACAGACUUCAAAUGAUACCACAGAGAAAAAGGAGGAAACGCUGCAGUGUAAUAAAAUGUCUAUUUUUAAAAAACACACUAGCUGCAGCAUUUUUAUUUCAUAGGUGGGUUUGAAGGCAAAGGGGUUGGCUUUUUUGUGGUUGUUAUCAAUUCCAGGGAAUGUGACAUGCACGCAGGAUCAAUUACUAAUCAAAUAGACCACGUUCACCUAAUCUGACCAAAGCUC
Molecule: long non-coding RNA, 545 nt
Filed under: Homo sapiens (human)
Lineage: Eukaryota; Metazoa; Chordata; Mammalia; Primates; Hominidae
Description: long non-coding RNA NONHSAT203151
Source: RNAcentral